CCACCCACAUCGCCGCACUGCCCCCCCACGCGGCACGCGGCCCGGCCGGGCCCCGACCUGCCCGCCUCAGGCAGGCGGCGCUGAGGCUUGGAGCGUUAGGCCAGCUCCGGGCCGGGUGUCAGGGUGGGAGCGAGUGAGGGAAAUCCCACAGGUGACCGUUGAGAGAUUCGGGGAGCCUCUGGUGAGGCGAGCAUUAGAUAAUGGAGGCUGAGCUCACAUGGAAUUUCACCCAGUAAUUCCCGCCUCCAGCCUAUGCAGAGUCUGCUCGAGCUAGAACAUAUUGUGUAAGAGACACCAGCCUUGAUUUAAAGACUUCCAAGUGAAGUAGAAUCCACCCCAUCUCUUGGUACAGAAAAGGAUCUUGGCAAAUACUUUCUACAGGAGUCAUACAAGCAUCGUUGGAGCAACUCUGUCACAAGAGAAGCAGUCCAGCCCCCUCUACCCAAGGAGCAAGAUGACGCUGAUGUGCAGCCACACUUGUGGAUGUGGGUGAACCCCAACCUGGUUUGCCCCAUAACAGGCUACCCCAAUAAGGGAGUCCCAGGAAAACCAGUGCAUUCGGUAGCUCCUGCACACAAGGCGGCUGUUAGAAAACCUACUUCAGUAAAACCAAGGCCCCAAGUAGCUGCUGCCCUACAAACUUCCUCUGGACAAUGUGUUUCAGUGCCCCCAGUAACUGCUGCACCCAAGGUCUCCUCUAGAAAAUAUAGUUCAUUAAAGGCAGUGGCCCUCGUCACUGCCCUGCAGACUUCUCCUGUAGCCUCUGUUUCCAUGCCCCCGUUGGCUACUGGUGCUGUGACCCUGCAGGCUUCAGCAGUCAAGAAUGUUCCCAGAAAACCAGUGUUCCCUGUAUUAUUGGCAACUGUUGCACCCAAGGCUUCUACUCCAGUAAAACCAGUACCUCCAGUAGCUGCUGCAUCCAAGGCUUCUAAUAGAAAACAUGCUUCAGUAAAGACAGUGCCCCCAGUAGCUGACACCAUGCAGAUUUGCGCACACACAGCGGGAAAAACUGUGUCUCUGGAAACUGCAGCACUUGAGGACUCCUAUCAAAAACCAGUCUUAAUUGACUCCAAGCAACUCUGUCCCAAGGAGGAGGUGCUACUGUGCUCCAGCAAAGCAAAGCGCUGA
This 1128-nucleotide long non-coding RNA is filed under the name Chelydra serpentina (North American snapping turtle). RNAcentral's name for it is "lncRNA (ENSCSRG00000013703.1)". Lineage: Eukaryota; Metazoa; Chordata; Testudines; Chelydridae. The record is from RNAcentral.